This 966-nucleotide long non-coding RNA is filed under the name Gallus gallus (chicken). Its description in RNAcentral is "lncRNA (ENSGALG00010025633.1)". The record is from RNAcentral. Lineage: Eukaryota; Metazoa; Chordata; Aves; Galliformes; Phasianidae.
UAUUUGUGCUUUCGGGAGUCCUGAAGCCACGAGCUACCAGGUCGCGCCUUUGCAGGAGGCCGCCAUUACUUGGCACCUGGAGGCUAUAGUUAAUAUAAGCACAGCUGAGCCAGUCCUUCUGUCACUGCUGGCAGUGGCCUAGAGGAUGCCUAGAAAAUAGCAAGCACGUGGUGAUUGCUGCCUGGGAGGAUCUCCUUGUUCUAGAGGCGUGAGGUACUCAGAGUUCCUGAACAACGUGCAGUGACCCAAGUGUGUCACAGGAAACCCUGCGAGAAUGUUCUACUACAGACAAGUAAAGACUGCAAUCUUGAACAUCCACUUUGAAAGCACCCCAGAAGCAUACCUGCUUAAUGAAGCCAGGAUCUGCAUUACUACCCCCAGGAAGAUCUAAAUCUUCAGAAUUUAGAAGAAAAACUCUAUUCUGUGCAGCAUGAUAAACCUGUCGGGAAACUGAAGACAAAGUCCUGCCUGACCUAAAGCUGUGGAAAGCCUUCAACUCACAAGAGAAGAAUUUCCUGCGGGAAUUAACGGACCGAGAAGGAGACAAAGAGGAGAAAAGUGCAGAAUGAGAACUGCGCUCAUAACAUACAGGAAGACUCAAAGCUUUUCAAGAUGCUAAAAAUUCAACACAACGCUUGAGAGUUAAGGUCCUGAAACUGGUGUUUAAAAGUAGUUUGCAGUCUUGUUUCCACAAAACAACUGCUACAAAAUGGAUGAAAUAAAAUAAGCUACAUCCACAUGCUUUCAGGGAGUAGGCAAUGAUGUUUGGAGCAUGCUGGCAGCUGCUGUGAGUCAACUCUGAGGUGCACAGCUCUCUCCACCCAGUGAGAGGAAGCCCAGAUUGGACCAGCAAAGUGGUGUGAACCUUCCUGUUUGUGUCAAACUGUACUGUCAGUGCAUAUAUUGACUUCACCGAAGUAGUUUGGGCUUUCCACCACUGAUGAGACCUUGGUGUCCUAUGAGUUU